UGUUUUUUUUUUUUUUUUUUUUUUUUUUUUUA
Molecule: non-coding RNA, 32 nt
Filed under: Prorocentrum micans
Lineage: Eukaryota; Dinophyceae; Prorocentrales; Prorocentraceae
Source: RNAcentral